GUGCCAGCCGCCGCGGUAAUACGUAUGUCGCAAGCGUUAUCCGGAAUUAUUGGGCAUAAAGGGCAUCUAGGCGGCCAGAUAAGUCUGGGGUGAAAACUUGCGGCUCAACCGCAAGCCUGCCCUGGAAACUAUGUGGCUAGAGUACUGGAGAGGUGGACGGAACUGCACGAGUAGAGGUGAAAUUCGUAGAUAUGUGCAGGAAUGCCGAUGAUGAAGAUAGUUCACUGGACGGUAACUGACGCUGAAGUGCGAAAGCUAGGGGAGCAAACAGGAUUAGAUACCCUGGUAGUCCUAGCUGUAAACGAUGAUUACUGGGUGUGGGCAUGAAGAGUGUCCGUGCCGAAGCUAAUGCGAUAAGUAAUCCGCCUGGGGAGUACGGCCGCAAGGCUGAAACUCAAAGGAAUUGACGG
Molecule: ribosomal RNA, 410 nt
Filed under: uncultured organism
Description: SSU rRNA
Rfam family: Bacterial small subunit ribosomal RNA
Source: RNAcentral